GACGAACGCUGGCGGCGUGCCUAACACAUGCAGGUCGAACGGAACUGUUUUGAAAGAUUUCUUCGGAAUGAAUUUGAUUUAGUUUAGUGGCGGACGGGUGAGUAACGCGUGAGUAACCUGCCUUCAAGAGGGGAAUAACAUUCUGAAAAGAAUGCUAAUACCGCAUGACAUAUCGGAACCACAUGGUUUUGAUAUCAAAGAUUUUAUCGCUUGAAGAUGGACUCGCGUCCGAUUAGUUAGUUGGUGAGGUAACGGCGCACCAAGACCGCGAUCGGUAGCCGGACUGAGAGGUUGAGCGGCCACAUUGGGACUGAGACACGGCCCAGACACCUACGGGAGGCAGCAGUGGGGGAUAUUGCGCAAGGGGGGCAACCCUGACGCAGCAACGCCGCGUGAAGGAUGAAGGGUUUCGGAGUGUAAACUUCUUUUAUUAAGGACGAAAAAUGACGGUACUUAAUGAAUAAGCUCCGGCUAACUACGUG
Molecule: ribosomal RNA, 482 nt
Filed under: uncultured bacterium
Lineage: Bacteria
Description: partial 16S ribosomal RNA
Rfam family: Bacterial small subunit ribosomal RNA
Source: RNAcentral